This 497-nucleotide ribosomal RNA is filed under the name uncultured bacterium. RNAcentral's name for it is "partial 16S ribosomal RNA". It matches the Rfam family "Bacterial small subunit ribosomal RNA", at positions 28 to 507 of the family's 1533-position model. The record is from RNAcentral.
GAUGAACGCUGGCGGCGUGCCUAAUACAUGCAAGUCGAGCGAACAGACGAGGAGCUUGCUCCUCUGACGUUAGCGGCGGACGGGUGAGUAACACGUGGAUAACCUACCUAUAAGACUGGGAUAACUUCGGGAAACCGGAGCUAAUACCGGAUAAUACAUUCAACCGCAUGGUUCAAUGGUGAAAGACGGUUUUGCUGUCUCUUUUAGAUGACUCCGCGCCGCAUUAGCUAGUUGGUAAGGUAACGGCUUACCAAGGCAACGAUGCGUAGCCGACCUGAGAGGGUGAUAGGCCGCACUGGAGCUGAGCCGCGGACCAGACGCCUACGGGAGGCAGCAGUAGGGAACGGGACGCAGUGGUCGAGAGCCUGACGGAGCAACGCCGCGUGUGUGAUGAAGGCCUUCGGAGCGUAAAGCUCUGUUAUGAGGGAAGAACAAAUGUGUAAGUAACUAUGCACGUCGUGACGGUACCUAAUCAGAAAGCCACGGCUAACUACGUG